This 964-nucleotide long non-coding RNA is filed under the name Daucus carota (carrot). RNAcentral's name for it is "long non-coding RNA (DCAR_LNC005589)". Lineage: Eukaryota; Viridiplantae; Streptophyta; Magnoliopsida; Apiales; Apiaceae. The record is from RNAcentral.
UCCUCGCGAAGAACGAUCCAAUACAAAACUGAUAAUGUGCUUGAUUACAAGAGAAAAACUGAUAAAACUAUAUUCCGAUAUUCUACGAUACUAAAACUACUUGGAGGCUAGGGUUUUUACACUUGAGAAAUUAAAAUGCUUUGACUAAGUCAACCGGGCCUCGUCCGCUGCGAAAAUCCAUCAGAAAAGCUGUAAAAAUCGGCCCGGAGAACUUCUGGAGGGCGCGGCCGCGCUAAACUAGCGCAGGCGCGCUAGUGGCAGCAGUAGGUAGCGCGGGCGCGCUAGAGGUUAGCGCGGGCGCGCUACUGUCUGCCACUGGCAGCCCUAUUCUUCGUUUUUCAGCUCGUUCUCGCGUGCAUGUCCUUCCUCGCUCUAGUACCACUUCCGUAGGUGAUCACGGUUGCAUUUAGCACAUGCAACAAGCCCUUUAAACCCCUAGAUAGCUCUAGUGGACGAGUGUGUUCUCGUGAGGGUUUGUAGAAGAUGUACCCACAAAAUCCCAAGUCGUGAUGAAUCCACAAUUCUCUAUUCUUGCAAAUAAUGCACCAAAAACAACCUAAAAUGAUAGAAAAUCACUUCAUCACCUCAACUCGUGACCUGCACAGAAAAACACUAAAAACACAUCAAAAGACACUAAACACUUAAGUACAACCAACCAAUUUAAGUGGAAAUGAAGGCCUAUAAGUGUGUAUAAAUACCACUUAUCACACCCCCAAACUUAAACUGAUGCUUGUCCUCAAGCGUCAACGACACUAUACAAUAAUACAAUGCAAUGCAUGAAUGCAACUACGUGAUGAAUGAGUGAACUAUGAAGUAAUUGCCUUGCCAAUUAUAAUACCUCAGAUUGUGCUAAUGUUCUCGAAUUUCAUCUCUCUCGCUACUAAGUCAAUUACUCUUCUAUUUACAAGUGUGGAGUGCCAGUGUGUGCAAGCAUGCUCUUUUAUUGAGACAAGACAAAAACUAC